AAGCGUUGUUCGGAUUCACUGGGCGUAAAGGGUGCGUAGGUGGUUGGGUAAGUCUGAUGUGAAAUCUCACAGCUUAACUGUGAAACUGCAUUGGAUACUAUCCAACUCGAGGAAUGGAGGGGAGACUGGAAUACUUGGUGUAGCAGUGAAAUGCGUAGAUAUCAAGUGGAACACCAGUGGCGAAGGCGGCGUUCUGGACUGCAACUGACACUGAGGAACGAAAGCCAGGGGAGCAAACGGG
This 241-nucleotide ribosomal RNA is filed under the name uncultured bacterium. RNAcentral's name for it is "partial 16S ribosomal RNA". It matches the Rfam family "Bacterial small subunit ribosomal RNA", at positions 536 to 776 of the family's 1533-position model. The record is from RNAcentral.